UUUACAGUGCUGAAAAAGAAGCGUGGCAUUGAACGGCAUGCACCAGCUAAAGGGCUGCAAGCAGUGAGUCAUGCAGUCUCAGACUGCAGUGUCCCUAGGCCUGCAGAAUUAACAAAAUAUAUGUGUAUAUAUAUAGCAUUGGUUCCAAAAGGAAUCAGAACAGCCCAGAAGUGUCCAAAUUAAGCACUCAUGUUCCACCUGCAGGUCUCCAUCCAGCCUGCAUUCUCAGGGAAAGUGUAGGUACUUCCUUCUUGGUGGAGGGAUACCAACUAGCUCCUGUCUCAUUUCCUUUCUUUAAUGACCACCUUUGGUUAAAUGUGUUGUUUCUUUGUUCUGAUACAAGCAGUCUUUGAAUUUGGAAUAUUACAAUGGAGAAAAAAAAAGUGCGUUCGCUACAUACAAGGUGAAGGCAGCUGCCUCAGCCCACCCUCUUCAGAUGGAAGCUUACUAGAUUCGCCUCCCCCCUCCCCCAACCUGCUAGGCUCCCCUCCCCGAGAC
This 498-nucleotide small RNA is filed under the name Pongo abelii (Sumatran orangutan). RNAcentral describes it as "retained intron". Lineage: Eukaryota; Metazoa; Chordata; Mammalia; Primates; Hominidae. The record is from RNAcentral.